UUCCAGACUCCUACGGGAGGCAGCAGUGGGGGAUAUUGCACAAUGGGGGGAACCCUGAUGCAGCGACGCCGCGUGGGUGAAGGAGUGCUUCGGCAUGUAAAGCCCUAUCGGCAGGGAAGAAGCAAGACGGUACCUGACUAAGAAGCCCCGACUAACUACGUGCCAGCAGCCGCGGUAAUACGUAGGGGGCGAGCGUUAUCCGGAUUCACUGGGUGUAAAGGGAGCGUAGACGGCCAUGCAAGCCAGGGGUGAAAGCCCGGGGCCCAACCCCGGGACUGCAUUGGAAACUGUAUUUCUAGAGUGUCGGAGAGGCAAGUGGAAUUCCUGGUGUAGCGGUGAAAUGCGUAGAUAUCAGGAGGAACACCAGUGGCGAAGGCGGCUUGCUGGACGAUGACUGACGUUGAGGCUCGAAAGCGUGGGGAGCAAACAGGAUUAGAUACCCUCGUAAC
This 449-nucleotide ribosomal RNA is filed under the name uncultured bacterium. RNAcentral describes it as "bacterial SSU rRNA". It matches the Rfam family "Bacterial small subunit ribosomal RNA", at positions 329 to 794 of the family's 1533-position model. The record is from RNAcentral.